RNAcentral lists this ribosomal RNA (497 nucleotides) under uncultured bacterium. Its description in RNAcentral is "partial 16S ribosomal RNA". It matches the Rfam family "Bacterial small subunit ribosomal RNA", at positions 28 to 507 of the family's 1533-position model. The record is from RNAcentral.
GAUGAACGCUGGCGGCGUGCCUAAUACAUGCAAGUCGAGCGAACGGACGAGAAGCUUGCUUCUCUGAUGUUAGCGGCGGACGGGUGAGUAACACGUGGAUAGCCUACCUAUAAGACUGGGAUAACUUCGGGAAACCGUAGCUAAUACCGGAUAAUAUUUUGAACCGCAUGGUUCAAAAGUGAAAGACGGUCUUGCUGUCACUUAUAGAUGGAUCCGCGCUGCAUUAGCUAGUUGGUGAGGUAACGGCUUACCAAGGCAACGAUGCAUAGCCGACCUGAGAGGGUGAUCGGCCACACUGGAACUGAGACACGGUCCAGACUCCUACGGGAGGCAGCAGUAGGGAAUCUUCCGCAAUGGGCGAAAGCCUGACGGAGCAACGCCGCGUGAGUGAUGAAGGUCUUCGGAUCGUAAAACUCUGUUAUUAGGGAAGAACAUAUGUGUAAGUAACUGUGCACAUCUUGACGGUACCUAAUCAGAAAGCCACGGCUAACUACGUG